CUGCUGCUGGGUUCUGAGUGUUUGUCCCUCACAUAAGAUUCCAGAACACUGCUACUGGGUUCUCAGUGUUUGUCCCUCACAUAGGAUUCCAGAACUCUGCUACGAGUUUCUGAAUGUUUGUCCAACACAUAGGAUUCCAGAACACAGCAACGAGGGUCUAAAUGUUUGUCCCUCACAUAGGACUACAGAACACUGCUAAGAA
This 202-nucleotide long non-coding RNA is filed under the name Homo sapiens (human). RNAcentral describes it as "HSALNT0404772". The record is from RNAcentral. Lineage: Eukaryota; Metazoa; Chordata; Mammalia; Primates; Hominidae.